AGCGUACACGGUGGAUGCCCUGGCAGUCAGAGGCGAUGAAGGACGUGCUAAUCUGCGAAAAGCGUCGGUAAGGUGAUAUGAACCGUUACAGCCGGCGAUGUCCGAAUGGGGAAACCCAGUGCAAUUCGUUGCACUAUCGUUAACUGAAUACAUAGGUUAACGAGGCGAACCGGGGGAACUGAAACAUCUAAGUACCCCGAGGAAAAGAAAUCAACCGAGAUUCCCCCAGUAGCGGCGAGCGAACGG
This 246-nucleotide ribosomal RNA is filed under the name Acinetobacter baumannii. RNAcentral describes it as "partial 23S ribosomal RNA". It matches the Rfam family "Bacterial large subunit ribosomal RNA", at positions 14 to 260 of the family's 2925-position model. The record is from RNAcentral. Lineage: Bacteria; Pseudomonadati; Pseudomonadota; Gammaproteobacteria; Moraxellales; Moraxellaceae.